Molecule: long non-coding RNA, 208 nt
Filed under: Vitis vinifera (wine grape)
Lineage: Eukaryota; Viridiplantae; Streptophyta; Magnoliopsida; Vitales; Vitaceae
Description: long non-coding RNA (VVIN_LNC002931)
Source: RNAcentral
UCCAAAACCUAUUAAACCUUUAACAACUCCUUCAAAAAUUAUUCAACAUACUGAUGGUACUAUUCAAAUAGAAUUUUCUCCAGCUUCUAGAUAUUCUUUCAAUCAAGAUUUCAUGUCUUCAAGACCUUCUACUUCAAAUGCUAGCUUAAAUAGUGUCAAUUUUGCUCCAAAAAUUCCUAUUCCUGUUUAUCAACAAAAUGAAUCUCCU